GUGGCCCCCCGCGCCGCAGCCGGCAUCGCGGCGGGACCCGGAGCCCGGAGUUCGGGUGGGUAACCCGAGCUCUCCAAGCUCUUGAAGCCGCGAGGGUGGCUUAGCUUCGGUGUUUUGGCUGAGAACACCCUUAAAGCUUAAAAUAAAACCUGCCUCUGGGGUGCAGGGGAGGAGAGAGGAGGACGCGAAUCACACCCGCUGCUGCGCGCCAGCCCGCCCCGUCUGUACAAUGGGAUGCUCGGGACUCGGACGGGAGGAUCCAGUGACUGCGAGCCCCGCAUUCGCCCGAUCCCAGCCUCACACCCCCAGCCAGCCCCCAGAGACCCUCCCACACUUACGAAGGAAAUGCAUGCGGCCAGGAGGAGAAUCCGCACCAGGAGGGAGCUCUACCCAGGAAAAAGAAGAAAAGGACAGAUUCAUUUGGGGUUCAGCCUCAUGCCCCCCACACCCAAGACUUUGUGGCUAAGAGAAUCAGGCCACCUUGAGGUUCAUCAAGUUCAUCCCAUUAAAACCUCCCAAAACUCUGGA
RNAcentral lists this long non-coding RNA (528 nucleotides) under Homo sapiens (human). RNAcentral describes it as "non-protein coding ATP2A1-AS1:3". Lineage: Eukaryota; Metazoa; Chordata; Mammalia; Primates; Hominidae. The record is from RNAcentral.